UGGGGCUGUCCAGGGAGCCGCCCGCCGCACGUCAUCCUGGGUCCUGCGGGGACUGGAGGCCGGCCCUGGGCUGCAGCAGAGACCCCCACCACCACCACCGUGGGCUGGGGGAGUUGCCCGCUGAGGCUGCAGCAAGGUGGGCCUCCUCCUGGGCACGGCUUGCCCGGUCCGGCGCCAGCUGGCCCUGCCUUCCUGCCCAGGCCUCCCUGAGACCACCUUCCAGAGCUGCUCUGGGGCCAGGGGCUACCUGCCAACCCCACGGCUGCCCCACCCCACUGUCCGCCGGGCCUGCGCCCCUGCCAAGCCCCAACUGCCGCUCCAGCUGCCACGGCCAACUGUCGACCCGCCUCCAUUCCAAGAGCUCGCUCACCCCCAAUCGUCCUUCCAAGUGCCACUGCCAACUGCCAGCCCCCUUCCUUCCUGAGCCCUGGCUCCCUCCACCGCUCCCAGCCAAGGCACCAGGACUCUGCCUUCCAGACCUUCCCACACACAGAGGCCAGGCCACACCUGCUGUGUGGGGUGGGGGCGGAGGGGCUGGGGGCCUGAGGCCAGGGGAGCUGCACAGGGCAGAGGCAGAACACAGCAGCAGCAGGGCCGGGCCCAGGGCCCAGCACACAGAGGGGCAGGCGUGGGGAGGAGGCAGAGGACAGGGCGGCCCUCAGUGCCAGCUGCCAUGGCCAGGCCCGGCUCAGGAGCCGGAAGGCAGCCAGGGCCCAGCCCAAGCAGGCCUGGGGCUGUGGUAGAGCCAGGGCCUUUCCUCUGAGGGCCUACGAACAGCUUGGCCUGACCAUGGACCCUGGGAGGGUCCUCCUAGCCAUGUCAGGAGAGAGCCCAGUUCCCCCACCAGACCUCUCCCCAGAGACCCCCCAGCCUUCCACAGCCCAAGGCGGGACCCGCUCUGGGUCUCAGCUGUCCCAGACCAGCCUGAGCUCCCACCUGCCUCACCACCCAGCACCUGGGGCCAGCCCAAGUCCCCUUAGGGUCUGACCUCUGGCUGCCUCUCUGGGUCUCAGCCCCUGGCCCUGCUGCCCUGACUGCCUUAUAGCCCCUCUCCCCUCACCCCAGUGGUCCCUGAGCCCCACCACACGUGGGGCCCCCACAGCCUGUCCUUCCCCCAGCCCUGAGCUCACGGCAGGUGCCCUUGAGCCAGCUGGCCAGGCCGGGGGAGACACAUUGCUGCCCCUCGCAGGUGCUGGCCUGGCUGUAAUUCCAUCCCAGGCUCUGGACAGCCAGUCAGCAUCCAGCAGGGCAUCCAGGCUGAAGGGACAGCCGCUCCCCAGGGCUCACAGCCUCCAAGGCUCACAUUGCAGAGGGUGGCGAUCACUGGGCAGAUAGCCACAGCAGGGAGAGGGGCUCCUGGCUCUCCCCGACAUCCCCUCCAGGACCCACAGGCUGGGCAACUGGCCCCGGGAGGAAGGGAGAGGCAGGGCACGUUUGCUGGGCACCUACCAUAUGCCAGGAGUCUCCCCACAGGGACAGUGGUGAGGGGAGGUGCCUGCCCAGGGCCACCCAGCCCACCUCCUGUGCAAGGGAAUGGGAAGGGGAGAAAAGGGAGGCCUGGGAGCUGUGGCUCUGUCCUGCCCCAAAGGGAUCUCCUCUCCCACCAGCGGUCUUCUGGGAGCCCCUGGGUGGGUGUGGAGAGGCCUAGCCCUGGGCAGUGCCACCUGCGGCCUCACCGGUUCACCCACCGGCUCGCUCACUGGCUACUGGCCAGGCAGCGUGCAUAGGACACAAGGAAUCCACUGCAGCAGGGGUGAGGCCUGAAGAGCCAGCAAAGUCCUUUGUUCUGGGAGGGAGUCAGCAAAUGGGUCAGCAGGUUUGACGUGGAACACCUGACGUGCAACACGUGACAUGGAACCUGUGACGUGGAACACGUGACAUGGAACAUGUGAUGUGGAAGGGCCCCGAAAGUCUGUGAAAUCCCUCCCUGCAGCUCGUGCCCUCAGCCAAGCCGUGAGAAAGUCUGUCAGGUGACUGCAGGACCCCCCCCAAAACACUGCACGGUGCUCCCCCAAACUGCCCAGGCCUGGAAACAGGGCACGUCUGAGAACCUGUCACCAACCGGAGGAGCCUAAGGAGACAUGACAGCUCUGAGCACUGUGGCCCUGGGGGGCCCGGAACAGAGGCCACCGACGGGGAACUGAUGGGAUCCGGAGGGCGCCUGGGCUGCCGCUGGGGGUCGUCGCACCACCUGGCUGCUUGGGGUGCAAAGCUGCCAAGGCAAGGUGGGGCGGUGACAUAGGGGGAGCUGACACUGAGUGAGGGGUCGCGGAAAUUCUCCAUGCUUUGCAACGCUGCAGCCUUUCUGAAACCUGAAGAUAUUCCAAAAUAAAUUUUAUCUUUUUU
Molecule: non-coding RNA, 2346 nt
Organism: Microcebus murinus (gray mouse lemur)
Lineage: Eukaryota; Metazoa; Chordata; Mammalia; Primates; Cheirogaleidae
Source: RefSeq, a predicted model, not a curated record